Molecule: ribosomal RNA, 163 nt
Filed under: Dendrobium densiflorum
Lineage: Eukaryota; Viridiplantae; Streptophyta; Magnoliopsida; Asparagales; Orchidaceae
Description: 5.8S ribosomal RNA
Rfam family: 5.8S ribosomal RNA
About the family: 5.8S ribosomal RNA (5.8S rRNA) is a component of the large subunit of the eukaryotic ribosome. It is transcribed by RNA polymerase I as part of the 45S precursor that also contains 18S and 28S rRNA.
Source: RNAcentral
ACACGACUCUCGGCAAUGGAUAUCUCGGCUCACGCAUCGAUGAAGAGCGCAGCGAAAUGCGAUACGUGGUGCGAAUUGCAGAAUCCCGCGAACCAUCGAGUCUUUGAACGCAAGUUGCGCCCGAGGCCAACCGGCCAAGGGCACGUCUGCCUGGGCGUCAAGC